AGUCGGACGAUCGCGUGAUAUUAUGCCGAAAGGUCGUAUCAUGAGGAAAGUCCGGGCUCCGCAGGGCAGGAUAACGGAUAACGUCCGCCGAAGGCGACUUCCGGGAAAGUGCAACAGAAAAGAACCGGAUGCUUAUGCAUCUAAGGGUGAAAAGGCGAGGUAAGAGCUCACCGGCAUUGUGGUAACACCGUGCAAGUGUAAACCCUAUCCGGAGCAACACCGUUUAUGGAAGCAGCGCGAGCUGAUGUCUGCCCGACAGAAUUCCAUGGGUGGCGAGGAUCGGCACGGCAACGUGACGGCAAGAUAGAUGAUCGUCGGCGCAUACGCGCUUACAGAACCCGGCUUAUAGACUCAG
Molecule: RNase P RNA, 355 nt
Filed under: human gut metagenome
Description: Bacterial RNase P class A
Rfam family: Bacterial RNase P class A
About the family: Ribonuclease P (RNase P) is a ubiquitous endoribonuclease, found in archaea, bacteria and eukarya as well as chloroplasts and mitochondria.
Source: RNAcentral